This is an RNA transcript of Hermetia illucens (black soldier fly), 449 nucleotides long. RefSeq lists it as uncharacterized. NCBI's taxonomy places the organism in Eukaryota, Metazoa, Arthropoda, Insecta, Diptera, Stratiomyidae. The transcript has 3 exons. The record is from RefSeq and is a predicted model, not a curated record.
UAAAAAUACACUCUGGACACUGUUUAAAAUACAGAAUCAAUCGAAUGGCCGGCCAUAUUGCAUGGGGUAGCAUAUGUGAAAGUUUGUUCAUUUUUCCUAACGCCAAACUGACGAGUUGAGUGUGUUUAAUACAGACAUAUAUUGAACCCCAGUUUUAUAGGUUGGCCUCAAUCCAAACGGAAUAAAUAUACAUACAUACACGGGAAGCACUUCCAACAGAGCCCCAGCAUGAAACACACCAGAAUAAUAAUAAUCGAAAAGGAAAAUGGAAAGUUUAAUAUAAAAAAAUCUAACAUCGGACAUAGAUACUCUAUCGAAAUCUAUAUACACAGAUCUGUAUCUGACGAUCUGGACAUUAAACGGAUAGGACUCUUGUUGAGGAUGAAAUGAACUUAGCCAAGACACACAGAUGAUGUUUUAAAUUUAUCUUUUAUUUACUUUCCGCUGUC